RNAcentral lists this ribosomal RNA (759 nucleotides) under bacterium GD48DO50%. RNAcentral's name for it is "bacterial SSU rRNA". It matches the Rfam family "Bacterial small subunit ribosomal RNA", at positions 84 to 879 of the family's 1533-position model. The record is from RNAcentral.
CUUCGGAGUUAGUGGCAGACGGGUGAGUAACGCGUGGGAMCCUACCUUUAGGUACGGAACAACAGUUGGAAACGACUGCUAAUACCGUAUGAGCCCUAUGGGGGAAAGAUUUAUCGCCUAAGGAUGGGCCCGCGUUGGAUUAGCUAGUUGGUGGGGUAAAGGCCUACCAAGGCGACGAUCCAUAGCUGGUCUGAGAGGAUGAUCAGCCACACUGGGACUGAGACACGGCCCAGACUCCUACGGGAGGCAGCAGUGGGGAAUAUUGGACAAUGGGGGCAACCCUGAUCCAGCCAUGCCGCGUGAGUGAUGAAGGCCCUAGGGUUGUAAAGCUCUUUCAGCGAGGAGGAUAAUGACGUUACUCGCAGAAGAAGCCCCGGCUAACUUCGUGCCAGCAGCCGCGGUAAUACGAAGGGGGCUAGCGUUGUUCGGAAUCACUGGGCGUAAAGCGCACGUAGGCGGACUUUUAAGUCAGGGGUGAAAUCCCGGGGCUCAACCCCGGAACUGCCUUUGAUACUGGAAGUCUUGAGACCGAGAGAGGUGAGUGGAACUCCGAGUGUAGAGGUGAAAUUCGUAGAUAUUCGGAAGAACACCAGUGGCGAAGGCGGCUCACUGGCUCGGUACUGACGCUGAGGUGCGAAAGCGUGGGGAGCMAACAGGAUUARAUACCCUGGUAGUCCACGCCGUAAACGAUGGAAGCUAGCCGUCAGGUAGCAUGCUAUUUGGKGGCGCAGCUAACGCAUUARGCUUCCCGCCUGGGGA